UGUGUUAUAGCUCAGUGAUAGAGUACUUGCCUAGAACAUGCAAGACCCUGGGUUCAAUCCCUAGCACCACAC
This 72-nucleotide transfer RNA is filed under the name Ictidomys tridecemlineatus (thirteen-lined ground squirrel). Its description in RNAcentral is "Spermophilus tridecemlineatus (thirteen-lined ground squirrel) tRNA". It matches the Rfam family "tRNA". Rfam says of the family: Transfer RNA (tRNA) molecules are approximately 80 nucleotides in length. Lineage: Eukaryota; Metazoa; Chordata; Mammalia; Rodentia; Sciuridae. The record is from Rfam by way of RNAcentral.